GCGCCCUUAGCUCAGCUGGAUAGAGCGUCUGGCUACGAACCAGAAGGUCGGGAGUUCGAAUCUCUCAGGGCGCACCA
This 77-nucleotide transfer RNA is filed under the name Acidipila sp. RNAcentral describes it as "tRNA-Arg". It matches the Rfam family "tRNA". From Rfam's summary of the family: Transfer RNA (tRNA) molecules are approximately 80 nucleotides in length. Their secondary structure includes four short double-helical elements and three loops (D, anti-codon, and T loops). Further hydrogen bonds mediate the characteristic L-shaped molecular structure. tRNAs have two regions of fundamental functional importance: the anti-codon, which is responsible for specific mRNA codon recognition, and the 3' end, to which the tRNAs corresponding amino acid is attached (by aminoacyl-tRNA synthetases). tRNAs cope with the degeneracy of the genetic code in two manners: having more than one tRNA (with a specific anti-codon) for a particular amino acid; and 'wobble' base-pairing, i.e. permitting non-standard base-pairing at the 3rd anti-codon position. The record is from RNAcentral. RNAcentral also lists the same sequence under 19 other names. Lineage: Bacteria; Pseudomonadati; Acidobacteriota; Terriglobia; Terriglobales; Acidobacteriaceae.